Molecule: transfer RNA, 76 nt
Filed under: Escherichia coli
Lineage: Bacteria; Pseudomonadati; Pseudomonadota; Gammaproteobacteria; Enterobacterales; Enterobacteriaceae
Also listed under: 2 other names
Description: tRNA-Phe
Rfam family: tRNA
About the family: Transfer RNA (tRNA) molecules are approximately 80 nucleotides in length. Their secondary structure includes four short double-helical elements and three loops (D, anti-codon, and T loops).
Source: RNAcentral
GCCCGGAUAGCUCAGUCGGUAGAGCAGGGGAUUGAAAAUCCCCGUGUCGGUGGUUCGAUUCCACCUCCGGGCACCA